UGCCUCAAACAUGCAAGUCGUACGCGAAAGUUCCUUCGGGAAUUAGUAGAGUGGCGCACGGGUGCGUAACACGUAGCUAACUUACCUCCUCGCUGGGGACAACUCCGGGAAACCGGAGCUAAUACCGAAUGAUCUGAAAGAGUCUGCGGACUUUUUCGGUAAAGGCGCAAGCCGCGAGGGGAUAGGGCUGCGGCCCAUUAGCUAGUUGGUAGGGUAAUGGCCUACCAAGGCUACUAUGGGUAGCUGGUCUGAGAGGAUGAUCAGCCACACUGGAACUGGAACACGGUCCAGACUCCCACGGGAGGCAGCAGUUGGGAAUAUUGCACAAUGGGGGAAACCCUGAUGCAGCAAUCCCGCGUGAGGGAUGUUUGCCUUCGGGUCGUAAACCUC
Molecule: ribosomal RNA, 390 nt
Filed under: uncultured organism
Description: bacterial SSU rRNA
Rfam family: Bacterial small subunit ribosomal RNA
Source: RNAcentral